Molecule: ribosomal RNA, 465 nt
Filed under: uncultured bacterium
Lineage: Bacteria
Description: partial 16S ribosomal RNA
Rfam family: Bacterial small subunit ribosomal RNA
Source: RNAcentral
GAUGAACGCUGGCGGCGUGCUUAACACAUGCAAGUCGAACGGAAAGGCUCCUCCUUUCUGGGGUACUCGAGUGGCGAACGGGUGAGUAACACGUGGGUGAUCUGCCCUUCACUUCGGGAUAACCCUUGGAAACUGGGUCUAAUACCGGAUAGGACCAUCUUUUGCAUGCCAUUGUUUAAAGUUUUUCGGUGUGGGAUGAUCUCGCGGCCUAUCAGCUUGUUGUUGGGGUAGUGGCCUACAAAGGCGUCUACGGGUAGGCGGCCUGGGAGGGUGUACGGCCACAAUGGGACUGAGAUAGGGGCCAGAAUGCUACGGGAGGGAGCAGUGGGGAAAAUUGCAAAAUGGGGGGAAGGCUGAUGGAGGGAAGCAGGGGGGGGGAAGAAGGGCUUCGGGUUGUAAAAGCGUUUCGGGAGGGAAGAAGGGGAAGGGACGGUAACUGGAGAAGAAGCACCGGCUAACUACGUG